This 275-nucleotide ribosomal RNA is filed under the name uncultured prokaryote. Its description in RNAcentral is "partial 16S ribosomal RNA". It matches the Rfam family "Bacterial small subunit ribosomal RNA", at positions 524 to 798 of the family's 1533-position model. The record is from RNAcentral.
UACGUAGGGUCCGAGCGUUGUCCGGAAUUAUUGGGCGUAAAGAGCUCGUAGGCGGUAUGUCGCGUCUGCUGUGAAAAACCGGGGCUUAACUUCGGUUUUGCAGUGGAUACGGGCAUGCUUGAGGUAGGUAGGGGAGACUGGAAUUCCUGGUGUAGCGGUGAAAUGCGCAGAUAUCAGGAGGAACACCGGUGGCGAAGGCGGGUCUCUGGGCCUUACCUGACGCUGAGGAGCGAAAGCAUGGGUAGCCAACAGGAUUAGAUACCCUGGUAGUCCCU